This 2422-nucleotide long non-coding RNA is filed under the name Physcomitrium patens. RNAcentral's name for it is "long non-coding RNA (PPAT_LNC009030)". The record is from RNAcentral. Lineage: Eukaryota; Viridiplantae; Streptophyta; Bryopsida; Funariales; Funariaceae.
AGUGAAUUUAUCUCUUCCGGUUCAAACCCCCUCUAUUAAAUUCUUGUGUUAGGAAUGUCUUGCAACUUGAGACCUUCAAACAAUCCUUGCGUUUUUACAACAUGAUUGCAAUGGCGUACAGUAUUGCCUGAUGGGGCUUGCUAUUUCACAUCACUCUCAAGUCUGCAAGAUGUAAAACAAAGAGCGCUGUCAAGACCAGCACAAAGUUGAGCUUGUAUGUCUUCUUCAAGCUUUUCGUGCUCAUAUUUUGCUCGAACGGAAGAAGGAAUUCCGAGGUAUUAUUGCUUCGUUGUGCAAGCUUUGAAGCCCUUGUUUGGCUUACAGGGUUUACCCCUGCGCUGUGAAGGAAUGCUGUUGUAUUGGCAACCGCGUGGGGCAUUUCGAGAGAAACGAGUCGACUCGUUUGCCGGGCAAUAAUUUGUGGUAAAAUCUAUUUGGGUGUGUCAAGGGGAAGAGGAAUUGGGUUGUCGCCAGUGCCACUCGAUGCUUUCGUGCGCCUCCAAAUCGGCAUCCUAGAGGAUUUGUAACCGCUUCUCAGAUUGCGGAUUGUCUCGCAUCGGCCGGUCCCACGCGUAGUUAGGAAACUGACGUUGACGGAAGCGAUGCGGCCGAUUGAUUCUCUUGAAAAGCUGAGGAAGAAUCUUGCGUCCUUGCGUUGGGGACAAGCGGCAUGGGUCCCUUUCGAUGCAGUUCAGAGCCCUCGUUCCGAACAUGUUCCUACCGGUAUUCUCUCAUCGGCAUCGUUUUUGAUGAAUUUUGCAUCAUUCCCGAAGCCUGACAAUUGAGAAAUCUGUUGCUUGGUGAUGCUAUUUCUGUGGGUAGAGGUAGCUAGCGACCGUACGUCCUUGUGGGAUGCAGUGCUAGUCGACUUGCAUGGGAUUUUUAGGUAUACAUGGUCACACUUCGUCUCCAUCUUGCGAACCGCUAAUUUGGUUUCCCUGUAGAGCUAGACCUUCACGACUCCCGUUCUUAUUGCUUUUAGAGCAAAUUCACUAGAGAGUAUUAGAGUUAUCGGCAACCUCCCCAUCUUGACUUGUGUUACACUGCUGCAAUUUCAAAUCGAAAGGCUUACCAAUCUUAUACUACAAGAAUUGCAAGUUUUAUUUCCUUUUUCCAGGCCGCAUGGGGUAAAUCUGUGCUUGAGAGCCCAGGACUCAUCAUUCAGGUACUCGGCGCACAUCCACAGACCAAAUUGACCCAACUCCAGGUAUUCCUUUACUAGCAUUUUGCUAAUUCACUAUGCCAUCUGCAAAACCUACUUUCCUCUCUACAAUACUAAUGUAUUGGUAAGAUUGUGAGAGUUGCUGGUGCUGAAGGCACACUCACGCUCAACUUUCGUGUCAGCUAUUCAUCUAUCAACAGCAGGGUCCUCAUUUCUUUCCCUCUCUCCUUUGUUACAUUGACUGGUCUACAAGAUCAGGACUUUUUCAUGUGCAUUAAGUUUGCAAAAGAUGAUGUCGAUGUAGACAAGCAAGCAGAAUUGGUAGAGAUGUUGAAAUGAAGCUUCAGUCUCUAUGAAGCAGGGAAUGUGUCUUGAUCUGUGCGGCGUUUCUCUCUGCAAUUCCUUGUGCUCACUACAAGUCAUGCCGAGCUUCCCAGUCUGGUUGAGAAACCAUGAAAAAACUGAAGCAGCAGCUAAUAUUUUGAAACAUGCUUCAAUUCUCACUGCUUUCUGUGCAGGUUGUUUGUUUUUCCAACUUCUGUAAUUUGGGUGUGAGCAUUAAUUGAGUUGUUGGGAGUAAUCACUAUUUCACAACCGGCAUGUAGACGUAUCAAUUGGUGUCGUAGGUUUGUAUCCUGCACGAGGAAAGACAUUUUCAAGUGAAGAGAUUGGAUUAUUUCUGAUUUGUAAGGCAAGGCAUUAUUGUGGCGUAUUCAUUUGAUUAGUUUGUCUGGCGCACUAGUUAGUGAUACUGAGUAAAGUGUUACAAAUUUUACAACGGCCAUCAAAUGCUUGUAGCAGAUGUCUACUAACAUGGAUGUUUGUUGCUUGAUGUUACAGAAAAGUAUGAGAAAAUAGUCAUUAACCAUGUCUUGAUAGUGUUAUUGAAUUUUAUUUGAAUGGUUGUUUCAAAUGCUAUGAUCUUUCUUUCUUUCUUCCCUUUUUUUUUUUUUUUUUUUUUUGAAUAAAGGUUGGGCAAUAGUUGUGAUGUUAUAGCUGUAAGUUUAGGGUUGGAUUUGAACUGUUAAUCUUUUGAUAUCAUUUUGGAUAUUGGGUACAAUGUUGAUAUAUUUUGGUAGUUUAAAGUUAUUUUAGACCAAAUAAAAUAAGACAUUCUUAAUAAAUCAAGGAAGAUUGUUUUAUUUGUGUUUUCAUUGUGGUUGAUGAAACUAAGUAUGUAUGUUUGUAAGUAACUAAAGUAAAUGUAUUAUAGGUUAUUGUUUUAAAAAAUAUCAUAGUAAUAUGAAUUUUUUUCUUUUA